UCCAAGUCGAACGAACUCUGGGUAUUGAUUGGGUGCUUGCAUCAUGAUUUACAUUUGAGUGAGUGGCGAACUGGUGAGUAACACGUGGGAAACCUGCCCAGAAGCGGGGGAUAACACCUGGAAACAGAUGCUAAUACCGCAUAACAACUUGGACCGCAUGGUCCGAGCUUGAAAGAUGGCUUCGGCUAUCACUUUUGGAUGGUCCCGCGGCGUAUUAGCUAGAUGGUGGGGUAACGGCUCACCAUGGCAAUGAUACGUAGCCGACCUGAGAGGGUAAUCGGCCACAUUGGGACUGAGACACGGCCCAAACUCCUACGGGAGGCAGCAGUAGGGAAUCUUCCACAAUGGACGAAAGUCUGAUGGAGCAACGCCGCGUGAGUGAAGAAGGGUUUCGGCUCGUAAAACUCUGUUGUUAAAGAAGAACAUAUCUGAGAGUAACUGUUCAGGUAUUGACGGUAUUUAACCAGAAAGCCACGGCUAACUACGUGCCAGCAGCCGCGGUAAUACGUAGAUGGCAAGCGUUGUCCGGAUUUAUUGGGCGUAAAGCGAGCGCAGGCGGUUUUUUAAGUCUGAUGUGAAAGCCUUCGGCUCAACCGAAGAAGUGCAUCGGAGACUGGGAAACUUGAGUGCAGAAGAGGACAGUGGAACUCCAUGUGUAGCGGUGAAAUGCGUAGAUAUAUGGAAGAACACCAGUGGCGAAGGCGGCUGUCUGGUCUGUAACUGACGCUGAGGCUCGAAAGUAUGGGUAGCAAACAGGAUUAGAUACCCUGGUAGUCCAUACCGUAAACGAUGAAUGCUAAGUGUUGGAGGGUUUCCGCCCUUCAGUGCUGCAGCUAACGCAUUAAGCAUUCCGCCUGGGGAGUACGGCCGCAAGGCUGAAACUCAAAGGAAUUGACGGGGGCCCGCACAAGCGGUGGAGCAUGUGGUUUAAUUCGAAGCUACGCGAAGAACCUUACCAGGUCUUGACAUACUAUGCAAAUCUAAGAGAUAGACGUUCCCUUCGGGGACUGGAUACAGUGGUGCAUGGUUGUCGUCAGCUCUGUCGUGAGAUGUUGGUUAAUCCCGCAACGACGCAACCCUUAUAUCAUUGCCACAU
RNAcentral lists this ribosomal RNA (1096 nucleotides) under Lactiplantibacillus plantarum. RNAcentral describes it as "bacterial SSU rRNA". It matches the Rfam family "Bacterial small subunit ribosomal RNA", at positions 56 to 1123 of the family's 1533-position model. The record is from RNAcentral. Lineage: Bacteria; Bacillati; Bacillota; Bacilli; Lactobacillales; Lactobacillaceae.